GAUGAACGCUGGCGGUAUGCUUAACACAUGCAAGUCGAACGGUCUUUUCGGAGAUAGUGGCGGACGGGUGAGUAACGCGUAAGAAUCUACCUUCAGGUUCGGGACAACCACUGGAAACGGUGGCUAAUACCGGAUGUGCCGAGAGGUGAAAGGCUUGCUGCCUGAAGAAGAGCUUGCGUCUGAUUAGCUAGUUGGUGGGGUAAGAGCCUACCAAGGCGACGAUCAGUAGCUGGUCUGAGAGGAUGAUCAGCCACACUGGGACUGAGACACGGCCCAGACUCCUA
Molecule: ribosomal RNA, 284 nt
Filed under: uncultured bacterium
Lineage: Bacteria
Description: partial 16S ribosomal RNA
Rfam family: Bacterial small subunit ribosomal RNA
Source: RNAcentral